Molecule: long non-coding RNA, 2284 nt
Organism: Anolis carolinensis (green anole)
Lineage: Eukaryota; Metazoa; Chordata; Lepidosauria; Squamata; Anolidae
Source: Ensembl
AUGAUCUUUCAGGCGAAGAAAAGGAGUUGUGUGGUUUUGUCAUUGCUAUUUAUUGGAGUGAGCCUGGGAAAAUCACAAGAAGGGAAAGAUUCCUGCAGAUCAAGAAUUCUGAUGAUGAUCACUUCUGGAAGAAAGAGGCAGUCCUUAAGAUAUCCUGGAACAAAGGCAUUGGGGCUUGAAUAGGUGCAUCUGAUGAGAAUAAAGGCACCCUCAGUGACAGUCUGUGGAGUUUCCAGUGCCUUCAGCAAGGUGCCAGGCUUCAAUAGGAGGGACCUGCUCUCUUUACCUUUGGCCUGAUCACCUUGGGCAUUAGGUGCCCCAGAGGCCCCUCUACCAGAGAAAGUGAGCAAGGAAAACUUUCAUCUGUCUCUGGAAUCAUCCACAACCAGCAACUUCAAGAACAAUAAGUUACCUUCAAACUUUAAGUAUGGACUUUGUUGUGGGGAAAUCAAGAUAGUGCCUGGGUGGAAGUAGGCCCAAUUAAUAAAUUGUUAUCAUUUCUUGAAAGCAAUAGCAUGGACAUUGAUUCUGUGGGGUUCCUUGCUCAAAUAGGAAGGCAAUUCAGCAUAGCCCAAGCUGAUAGAAAGUCGGGACAUGUUAGCACUAAAGACAUUUAAAGCAGCUUGAGUGCGACAGCACAACCCCCGUAUCCUUAGACUAAAUAUCCAUAUUUUCACCGGCUCAAAUUCACAUGAAAUUGAUGUUUAAAAUGCUUAUUUAAUGUGAAUUUGAAAGCCACACUGGGAGCCAAAAUCCUGCCUUUUUGGUGAGAGGUGGCCAGACACCCACCCAUGCUGAACUACCAUUGGAAUGGGUGGGCAUGCCCCCUGCUUUAAAGUCCUGGUGUGAUAACAUUUUUAGUACAAUGUGGAUGGGGCCUUACUCACACUCCAAAAUUAUCCCUCUUCAAACAUGUUCAUGAGCCUCUCUAUGUCAUCCAGUGCAAUUCUAUGGGAUGUUUUCAGCCCAAGUAUCCAUGCAGUCAUGCCAGCCACAUGACCUUGGAGGUAUCUAUGGACAAUGCUGGCUCUUUGGCUUAGAAAUGGAGAUGUGCACCAAUCCCCAGAGUCGGACAUGACUAGACUUAAUGUCAGGAGAAAACCUUUACCUAUAGACAAAAUAUCGAGUUCACUAUUAUCUACGGUAUCAGGAAUGGAGCACAUUGAAAGGAUCCUUUUUCCACAAUAAAUGUAUAAGGCUAUCUGCUCAUAAAUCAAAAACACAAUAAUUAUUAAAAAUGAAAGUGGUGGCAGCAAAGUUACACAGCAUUAACUGCCAUGGCUCAAUGCGAUGGAAUUCUGGAGUUUAUAGUUUUGUGAGAUAAUUAUCCUUCUAUGUCAGAGAGCGCUGGCACCACAUCAGACUACAGGACUCCAUGGGAUUAUCUGUGGCAAUUAAAGUGGCUGUAAUUCUGCAGUGUGGAUGGGACUGAUGGAGCUUUCCAAUGACCUUGUAUCCCAUAAACAAAAUCAUUUUCCACUAAGCUAGUUUUCAAUAUUCAGCCAUGUGUCAUUGUGGGAUGGUGAAUUCACUCAAGUUAUAAACAUGCAUGAAUGAAUCAGCACUAUUCUGGCAUAGCUCAGAAAGGGAGAAAGGUGCAGAGAGAAAGAGAAAGGAGUAAAAAAAAUUCCAAGACCAUUUGUGGGAUCAUAAACUGUCAAAGUGCUCAGCUCAAGCACAAACUGCCAAAGCAGGAGCAGUUGCUGAAAAGAUCAUAAAAAGUCAAAUCAAUGUCACUCCUCCAAUCUGCUUUCCCUUCAGAUUCCCCAGGUUGGUCUUACAUCAUUUCCACAGCAUCUUUCAGUUCUGUUUUCUUCACCUUUUUUCUCUCAGAAAUGCCAUAGGCUAUGAAUAAUCUGAAACAAGUGACAGCGCUUUCUGUCACUUCCUCAAACAGAGUACCUUUCUAACACUGUAUUUGAAAAUGUCUGCUAGUAGAAUAUUUUCAAUCUGUUUUUCAAUGUAAGAAGAGAGGAAGUGUUGGUGGAUGUGGCAAGAAAGAACAAUGCUAAAACAUAAUCCUUUCAUUCAAAUGGCUUGUUGAUUCUCUGGUGUUCACAGAGGGUGGUAUGAGGCUUUAACUUGCUUUAGGGAAGUUGCCAUUUUCUGUUCUUCCUGCCAUUUUCAUUCCACUCCACUGAUAAACACUGGAAACAACCAGGAGAGUAUUGUUCUACGUCUAACUGUUUCCCUAGAUAAUAUAGGUCAGGGGUCCUCAAACUUUUUAAACCGAGGGCCGGUCCACAAUCCUUCAGACUGUUGAGGGGCUGGAUUAUCAUUUGAA